GUACUUUGCGAACUCUCGUCUACGCAAGAAGGACUCAGUCUACCUUUGGUUAGAACCGUUCCAUGGUAGAUUUGCCGAACCAAUCAACUACAUUCUCCCAAUUAGUUUGCUGGCUACUUUCGGAGGUUUGUAGGGUGUUUUAAAAAACAUCAGUGACUGGGUUGUCUCUAACCAGUCAAAGUAUCAAAGCUAAUUACAUACUUAUUGCUGAAAGAAAUGUUUGGGGUUGUGGCUUUUGGCCAGAACAUGGAGUUUAAAAAGCCAGCCAAUCAGCAAAGGAGAAUCUAGGGUGUCAUGAUUUGUGUCGAGUGUCAAUAAAUGCUUCGGUGGUCUGGGAACACUGGAGUCAUUUCUUCUUAAGCACUGAGUAUGAACACUGGAAAUGAAGGCCCAAUGGAGAGACAACAUAUGGCUGUCUGGGAUACCCUGCGGACUUGGCUUCUCUGGAGCUGUUGUCUUACUGCUGUUAGCAAGAAAACCUGUGUAUUGAAGUUACUGAGUCACACUACUGUUUUCCACCAGCUUGACCGGGUCCUGUGGACCGUGCAUAUAUGGACACACACACACACACACACAAACUGACUGUUGUUUGCUUGAGAAAUGAUGUCUACACAUCAUGGCUCUUGAUUUUAUUACAAAUCAAAUCAGUCUGCUUCCGUUGGGAGGGAAUGAGGGGAGAGUUACUGACAGGGGAGGUUAGGGUCUUCCUGGGUUACGUCAGAUCCCCUAGAGCGGACUGCUCCGCUCCAGAUCUCCACUGCAGAUUAAGGGAGGUGAUUUGUCUCGGCGGAACACUGCUGACGGCAUGCUAAUCUGACACUUCCACGCAGGGUUCACUGGCCUGGCAGUCAUGGUAUCGUCGCCAGCAUCGGCCACGUUCUGCAGGUGAGGGAGGGAGUUGGCAUCUUUCUGCGGCUGUGGUGGUGUCCGAACACAAGCCCAUAACAUGCACUCCUGCGCACGUAGUUGUAGAUUUGUGUUUGGCCAUUAUGUGGAACCCAGAGCUUCCGGAACAUACAGCUGUCUUUGUGCUGCGAUGUUGAGAGGAUCACUUUGCUCUCUGACUGAAAGAGACUAAAUGCCUUUCUGUAUCCAUUAGGCAGUGGUUUUUCACGAACCUGGUCAAUCGUCUAAGGCAAAAUGACAGUUUACAGUGGCCAACGUCCUGCUCUUUUCUCUGAGCCUGGUUGAUUUAACACAUGCAUACCUAGGGUGUUCAUGAGUAUCAGUUAAGAGAGAAUUUACAGACCCGUCCAUCAAAUCCACUGCUUUGGCAUUUGUAGAUGGGGCCCAUCAACACAUUCUGUGUGUCUCAAUGUGUCUGUGUGUGUAUAUAAUGUGGGAUAUGUCGUUUUGAUGAUCUGGAACAAACAGCGUGUCCGGCCAGGAUCCGAGUGAUUUUACUGUGUCUGGUCAGACUGGAGUCCUGAGAUAAUGAACGCAACCAGGAGAGAGAGGCCGACCCCUGCUGCUUCAUCGUCAGACUCUGUUAUCACUAACACCAAUCACAACAUUUCAUUUCAACUCUCAAACCAUCUUUCUAGCCUCAUUUUAGGCAUUAGUAGUUUGUUUUCACAAGGGCUAUCUUUCUGGACGGGUAGUCUAAACACACACCGAGGGACACAAAAACGGAAGGAAAGGAAACUAUGUAUUGGUACACAUCCCAGAGCUCAAGAAACUUCCAGAAGACCCAGCAAGUGGAACCCAGAGAACUGACCCCAUGUGAUUCUGGAUCCCUAAAGUGAUUCUCCUCCACAAACUGUGUGUUCUAGUGAAUAACCUGGUGACUAUCCUCUCCACUUGGCUUCUGUCUGUGUGAAUAACAACACGUAUCCCCCAUCCAGUCCACACAACAAUACUAGUUUGUGUUUUCCCGGAUGCGUAUUACUGUAAUAAUAAUGUUCAGUUCAGAGUUCCCCAUGGAUGUCAAAUGGGUCACGG
This is a long non-coding RNA of Esox lucius (northern pike), 1941 nucleotides long. NCBI's taxonomy places the organism in Eukaryota, Metazoa, Chordata, Actinopteri, Esociformes, Esocidae. The record is from Ensembl.